ACGAUAUGGAUGAUCUGGUGGUAGAAAUCUCCUGUGACAGUCAAACCAACACGUUUUCCUUCCGUGUUUUAGUUGGAAAGCAUCAGUGUUAUCUUGACAAUAUGGACAUGAUAGCCUUCCAUGCGUUGUCCAUCCAGAUAACAUACCAUAUGCUGGAAAAUCACUUAUUGUCCACAUUAGUACUGCCCGCAUUUGAAAGUUUUCUUUAUACGAAACAUCGUAUGUUUCAGCACCUUGAGUCCAUAGUUGUUGCAACUCAUAUAUUAGUGGCUGAAGAAACACAUCAAGUGAUCUCUUAGGAUGCUCUGGUCC
This 312-nucleotide long non-coding RNA is filed under the name Brassica rapa (field mustard). RNAcentral describes it as "long non-coding RNA (BRAP_LNC003392)". The record is from RNAcentral. Lineage: Eukaryota; Viridiplantae; Streptophyta; Magnoliopsida; Brassicales; Brassicaceae.